CCGCCGUACUAAGUGUGUAGUGUAAAAUUACUCGAGACCAGUCAUGACACGUUACUGAAAAAGGGUGUGAAUAAACGGUUUAAUAGAUUAACACUAUUCCCCCCCUAAUUGAUCAAACUCGAGAGAUAAUACGAAAAAUAUUGUUGAGUAUUAAAAAUACAAAAAAUAAGUGGUAAGUUUAAGGAGAGAAAAUAAAUGGAAAGAAUCAUGACGUAAAGGAGACAAAUAAAGACAGAAGGUGGCAAGAUUUUUUUUGAAUUUUUCGAUGAUAUUUGUCGGAUAAAUGUGCUCAGUAGAUAUCAGUGGCAGAUAGUGAAAGGAGGCCUGCGGGCUAUUGUGGAAGAUAAGAAGAAAACGACAAUAGGAGGGACAAAAAGGAUGCGGGGGCACCAGAAAGGGGCAAGUAUGCCCGAUCAUCGUUUCGUUUUAUUAUAGGGGAGGCGAAUUCUACAAAAUAAUCAUCCCUGCAUCGUUGGACAUCCAACGCAAGUAUUGAGAAGCUUCAGCGCUACCAGCACUGCCCCCGUUCACCAAGAUGGCGGACGGGAAAGAAGACCAGACGUUUCUACAGAAACUAUUAUUCUAUACAACCGCGUUCUUCAUUCUCCUUGGCACCUUCAGCCUCUUCGCCUUUCUCUUCUUGGUUCCUUUCGUCAUCGACCCUGCAUUCACCACUAUUUUCAUGGAUUUCGAAACACAACCGGCUGAAUGUAUCACCAUUGAUGUAGAAUCGAGGAGAGGUGCUAGCAACUGUUCGUGGACAUCAUGUAGAGAGGGUUGUACAAAGGAACUUUAUGAUUGUACGCAAAUACGCGUGAAUUAUAAAUUACCGGUGAAUGGAACUGACGGGAAGGGCAGGGCGGGAGGAGGUGUCGAGGAUGACGAGGCCGAGGCUAAAUUGAGAUACGAACGAUCUCCAAGAGAUUACAAUAAUUACAUUGAAGAUUUUGAUGACGAUUUCGAUGAAGACGUCGAUCUCAAACUGCCAAAAUCUUUUCCUACAGGUCUCAUGGGUAACAAUUCCGAGUGGUAUUUCACUGGAGCUAAAUUGUUUCCUAACGUAAAAGGCUGUGGAUACCCUCCAAUGUUGAAUUGCAGUAUUUUCUACCGGCAAUAUGCCAACAUAGGACAGAAUUUUAGCUGUUACUAUUCCAAAGUUGAUCCUAGUAUUGUCAUCAGCGAUCUUGAUAUGUGGCAGGUUUAUAUGAAUUUGGUAUAUGCAAUGGCGAUACCAAUACCAUCUUUUAUAAUUUCGGUAAUAUAUCUUACUAUUGCCUACUUCAAAAUUUACAACGAAGACGAAGAAAAAUUGGUAAAUAAAAAUGAUGGCGAGGAUGAGGAAGUCGAAGGUCUUCAUAGCAACGCAACACCAAUUCCACCCACAAGUGGUGCCAUUACACCCGGAAGUGAAGCCUUCAGAGAGGACCUUGCGAGUUUUGGUCAUCAACUCAAAGUUGCUAUGGCAGAUGAGGUCAGCAGAGAGAGCCUUGAUGGAAUACCGAAUUCAAUUUCAGUUCAGGGAAACUUGAACAAGAUGAUGACGACGAGUAUCUUAACUCCACCUGGGCCGACAGCAGCAGUUUGAAGCGACACUUUCAAGGUUUGAACAAUAUCUCAUGGAAGCCCCACUAGAGAUCAUCAUCUCUAAGUCAAAUUAUAGAAGAUGAGGUUUGCAUUCAAGGGUUCCUCAGUCCUCUGUUGAUGAAACAAGUUUUCGAUACUUCAGCACGUCACUGCACGCCAUCGAGUGAACCAGAGGCUAUUGAGAAGUCAAUUACGGGUAAAUGAUAACAACAUAUUGGAUAAUUUUUCAACGAAUAAAUGUCAGGAGAAUGCAAAUUCAAUAGGUUUUAGCAAUCAAAUUUCAAUGAAAAUCAAUGAUAAUAAAUUACUCUGGUUCGCUCGUGAAUAAUAAUUAAAAAAAAUAUUUUAUAAAGAAAAAAAUUGGAAAUUUAAUUUAUAUCAUGUAUUAAAAAAUUACAUUGUUUAUUGAUACAAAGAUAAAGGCUUGAAAAAUGGUAUAGGUAAAUAAUGAAAAUGUUAAAAAUAUACUUAAAUAAUUCGCUUGCUGUGUGACCAUGCGUAUUCACCGUUAUAUCGUUGUAAUUUAUACGAUAGAAUAUCAAUUUACUUAUUCACUCCACGCCAAUGAAAUUAUGUAAAAAGACUAAAAAUAAGCUUUACAAAUAUUUAAAGCUAAUGUAAUCGGUUAAUCAAGUGCGAAUUGUUCAAACUUUAUCAGUCCACAAUUUAAUUGAAAUAAUCUAAGAAAACAAAACAAAUACUAAUUGACUUUAUCUCCCAGCCGUCCAAUUGUCAGGCUGUCAUUGAUUUGUACUUAAUCAAAGAGUACUUGCAUGAGGACGAAAUGUCAGAAAUACCAUGGGUAAUGCUUUUUUCUCUCAAGUUAUACCUGGUAAGAGCAUUGCUUGUGCUUCUCGCUUAAUUAUGACAAGUAAAAAUUAGAUCCAUCAAAACAUAAGUUUUUUUUAUUAACUAGUGAAACAAAUAAUUAAUAUAAAUAUCUGAUUAAAUAUUGCCAACAUCAAUCAUAAAUUUAAUGUCAUGAUAACAAUUAUUUUUAAUCCAGCAGUGCUCAAUUACUUGACUUAUUAGUUUUUUAUUUUAUUACAUUGGCGAAUAAUGUUGAAAAUAAUUGUAAAAUUGCCUGGACAUGCGCACAUGACAAUGGUACACUGAUGUACAAGUGAGACAUGUGUUAUCAUAGUUACGAAAAAGAAAAAAAAAACAAAACCAUUUGAAUAAUGAUAAUAAUAUUAAUAAGAUAAAUAAUAAUAAACAACUAAAUUGUUUUUAUGAAUUAAGAACAAGUUGUCUGUGAUCUACAAUAAUUGACAUAAAUAUGUAAAAAGUAUCGACAAGUAAUAAAAGUAUAAAUUAUUAAUACGUUAAUAAACGUAUGUACGUUAAAAAAAAAACAGUUCAAAGCUAUUGAUUGGAUAAAUGAUUUAUAAACUAAAUUUCUUCAAAGUAAUGCAAACAAAUAUUGUGUAAAAUAACAUAUUGAAAAUAUGAAUUGAAAACAGUUGACAUUUGUUUGAUCAUAAAACUUGUCACUGCUGUUAUAGAUUUUCCCACAAUUGCAAGAAGGGAAAAACGAAAUAAGUAAAGUAUUAAAACAAUUAUUACCGAAUAUAAAUCAUAAAUAUGGCACCUCCUUAUCACCUUUAUAAAUAAUAUAGAUCUAGAUAGAUUAAUAGAAGCUCAAAACACCAAAAUUCAUUCCUUCCACCCGCUCCGGCCGUAUAUUUGAUUGUCUUUAUUACAUGGCGUUGCAUCUAAAGUUGAAGCAAAAGUACUAAUAUCUGUUAACAAAUUGAGUAUAUUCUUGAAUCUAAAUACCACUACAACUAAAUAAACCAUAAUAAAAUGUUUGGAAAAAUGUACAUGAUAAUUUUAUAUUAUGUAGCACAUUCUACACAUUAUAACAUGUUGAAUUUAUUUUAUUUGUUAUUUAUUAUCGACAUCAUUGUCAGCUGCGAUUAAUUUUAUGUACAAAUGUAUAAUGCAUUUUUGCGACUAACAAUAAACAAAU
This 3556-nucleotide unclassified non-coding RNA is filed under the name Chelonus insularis. RNAcentral's name for it is "cilia- and flagella-associated protein 298-like, transcript variant X4". The record is from RNAcentral. Lineage: Eukaryota; Metazoa; Arthropoda; Insecta; Hymenoptera; Braconidae.